UACGUAGGCGGAAAAUUAAGUCAGUAGUGAAAUCCUGCAGCUUAACUGUAGAACUGCUAUUGAUACUGGUUUUCUUGAAUAUAGUUGAGGUAGGCGGAAUGUGUAAUGUAGCGGUGAAAUGCUUAGAUAUUACACAGAACACCGAUUGCGAAGGCAGCUUACUAAGCUAUGAUUGACGCUGAGGUACGAAAGCGUGGGGAGCGAACAGGAUUAGAUACCCUGGUAGUCC
This 229-nucleotide ribosomal RNA is filed under the name uncultured bacterium. RNAcentral describes it as "partial 16S ribosomal RNA". It matches the Rfam family "Bacterial small subunit ribosomal RNA", at positions 568 to 796 of the family's 1533-position model. The record is from RNAcentral.